This 450-nucleotide ribosomal RNA is filed under the name Ligilactobacillus animalis. RNAcentral's name for it is "bacterial SSU rRNA". It matches the Rfam family "Bacterial small subunit ribosomal RNA", at positions 1 to 423 of the family's 1533-position model. Lineage: Bacteria; Bacillati; Bacillota; Bacilli; Lactobacillales; Lactobacillaceae. The record is from RNAcentral.
UUUAAAUUGAGAGUUUGAUCCUGGCUCAGGAUGAACGCUGGCGGCGUGCCUAAUACAUGCAAGUCGAACGAAACUUCUUUAUCACCGAGUGCUUGCACUCACCGAUAAAGAGUUGAGUGGCGAACGGGUGAGUAACACGUGGGCAACCUGCCCAAAAGAGGGGGAUAACACUUGGAAACAGGUGCUAAUACCGCAUAACCAUAGUUACCGCAUGGUAACUAUGUAAAAGGUGGCUAUGCUACCACUUUUGGAUGGGCCCGCGGCGCAUUAGCUAGUUGGUGAGGUAAAGGCUUACCAAGGCAAUGAUGCGUAGCCGAACUGAGAGGUUGAUCGGCCACAUUGGGACUGAGACACGGCCCAAACUCCUACGGGAGGCAGCAGUAGGGAAUCUUCCACAAUGGGCGAAAGCCUGAUGGAGCAACGCCGCGUGGGUGAAGAAGGUCUUCGGAU